GUGGGGAAUUUUGGACAAUGGGCGCAAGCCUGAUCCAGCAAUGCCGCGUGCAGGAAGAAGGCCUUCGGGUUGUAAACUGCUUUUGUACGGAACGAAACGGUCCUGGUUAAUACCUGGGGCUAAUGACGGUACCGUAAGAAUAAGCACCGGCUAACUACGUGCCAGCAGCCGCGGUAAUACGUAGGGUGCGAGCGUUAAUCGGAAUUACUGGGCGUAAAGCGUGCGCAGGCGGUUUUGUAAGACAGGCGUGAAAUCCCCGGGCUCAACCUGGGAAUUGCGCUUGUGACUGAAAGGCUGGAGUGCGGCAGAGGGGGAUGGAAUUCCGCGUGUAGCAGUGAAAUGCGUAGAUAUGCGGAGGAACACCGAUGGCGAAGGCAAUCCCCUGGGCCUGCACUGACGCUCAUGCACGAAAGCGUGGGGAGCAAACAGGAUUAGAUACCCUUGUAGUCC
RNAcentral lists this ribosomal RNA (450 nucleotides) under uncultured bacterium. Its description in RNAcentral is "bacterial SSU rRNA". It matches the Rfam family "Bacterial small subunit ribosomal RNA", at positions 354 to 796 of the family's 1533-position model. The record is from RNAcentral.